Molecule: transfer-messenger RNA, 363 nt
Filed under: Salmonella enterica
Lineage: Bacteria; Pseudomonadati; Pseudomonadota; Gammaproteobacteria; Enterobacterales; Enterobacteriaceae
Also listed under: 2 other names
Rfam family: transfer-messenger RNA
About the family: Bacterial tmRNA, also known as 10Sa RNA or SsrA, is named for its dual tRNA and mRNA-like properties. Its role is to liberate the mRNA from a stalled ribosome.
Source: RNAcentral
GGGGCUGAUUCUGGAUUCGACGGGAUUUGCGAAACCCAAGGUGCAUGCCGAGGGGCGGUUGGCCUCGUAAAAAGCCGCAAAAAAAUAGUCGCAAACGACGAAAACUACGCUUUAGCAGCUUAAUAACCUGCUUAGAGCCCUCUCUCCCUAGCCUCCGCUCUUAGGACGGGGAUCAAGAGAGGUCAAACCCAAAAGAGAUCGCGUGGAUGCCCUGCCUGGGGUUGAAGCGUUAAAACUAAUCAGGCUAGUCUGGUAGUGGCGUGUCCGUCCGCAGGUGCCAGGCGAAUGUAAAGACAGACUAAGCAUGUAGUACCGAGGAUGUAGGAAUUUCGGACGCGGGUUCAACUCCCGCCAGCUCCACCA